GGAAAUAGCUGGUUCUCCGCGAAAUCUAUUUAGGUAGAGCGUCGGGCGAAUACUCCAGGGGGUAGAGCACUGGAUGGGCUAGGGGUCCUUACCGGAUUACCAAACCUAACCAAACUCCGAAUACCUGGAAGUACUACCCGGCAGACACACCAUGGGUGCUAACGUCCGUGGUGGAGAGGGAAAAAACCCUGACCGCCGUCUAAGGUCCCUAAAUUGUGGCUAAGUGGGAAAGGAUGUGGGGUCCCCAAAACAACCAGGAGGUUGGCUUAGAAGCAGCCAUCCUUUAAAGAAAGCGUAACAGCUCACUGGUCUAAAUAAGUUGUCUUGCGGCGAAGAUGUAACGGGGCUCAAGCCAUGAGCCGAAGCUUAGGAUGCAUUUAUUGCAUGGUAGCAGAGCGUAGUGUGACAUAAUUCCAUGUCUCCUUAACCACUUCGGUGGGAUUGGAGACGCGGAGUUUUCUGUGAAGCGGGCCUGUGAGGGAUCCCGUGGAGAGAUCACUAGUGAGAAUGAUGACAUGAGUAGCGACAAAGAGUGUGAGAGACACUCUCGCCGAAAAUCCAAGGGUUCCUGCUUAAAGCUAAUCUGAGCAGGGUAAGCCGACCCCUAAGGCGAGGCCGAAAGGCGUAGUCGAUGGGAACCAGGUUAAUAUUCCUGGGCCAGAUGGAAGUGACGGAUCUCGAGGGUAGUUCAUCCUUAUCGGAUUGAAUGGGCUGCUUAGAGGUCCCUGGAAAUAGCUCCAUCGCUAGAUCGUACCCUAAACCGACACAGGUGGACUGGUAGAGAAUACCAAGGCGCUUGAGAGAACGAUGUUGAAGGAACUCGGCAAAAUACCUCCGUAAGUUCGCGAGAAGGAGGCCCGGUUUCUACGCAAGUAUUGACUGGGGGCACAAACCAGGGGGUGGCGACUGUUUACUAAAAACACAGGGCUCUGCGAAGUCGCAAGACGACGUAUAGGGUCUGACGCCUGCCCGGUGCCUGAAGGUUAAAAGGAGGAGUGCAAGCUCCGAAUUGAAGCCCAGGUAAACGGCGGCCGUAACUAUAACGGUCCUAAGGUAGCGAAAUUCCUUGUCGGGUAAGUUCCGACCUGCACGAAUGGCGUAACGACUUCCCCGCUGUCUCCAACAUCGACUCAGCGAAAUUGAAUUACCGGUCAAGAUGCCGGUUACCCGCGGUUAGACGGAAAGACCCCGUGCACCUUUACUACAACUUCACACUGGCAUUAGGCCGAACAUGUGCAGGAUAGGUGGUGGGCUUUGAAGCGUGAACGCCAGUUUGCGUGGAGCCUCCCUUGAGAUACCACCCUUGUUCUGCUUGAUGUCUAACCGCGGCCCGUUAUCCGGAUCCGGGACCCUGUGUGUUGCGUAGUUUGACUGGGGCGUCCGCCUCCUAAACCGUAACGGAUGCGCGCGACGCUUGGAUC
RNAcentral lists this ribosomal RNA (1421 nucleotides) under marine metagenome. Its description in RNAcentral is "bacterial LSU rRNA". It matches the Rfam family "Bacterial large subunit ribosomal RNA", at positions 841 to 2323 of the family's 2925-position model. The record is from RNAcentral.